Molecule: ribosomal RNA, 293 nt
Filed under: uncultured bacterium
Lineage: Bacteria
Description: partial 16S ribosomal RNA
Rfam family: Archaeal small subunit ribosomal RNA
Source: RNAcentral
GUGCCAGCCGCCGCGGUAAUACCGGCAGCCCGAGUGAUGGCCGAUCUUAUUGGGCCUAAAGCGUCCGUAGCUGGCUGCGCAAGUCCGUCGGGAAAUCCACUCGCCCAACGAGUGGGCGUCCGACGGAAACUGUUCGGCUUGGGGCCGGAGGACCCGAGGGGUACGUCCGGGGUAGGAGUGAAAUCCUGUAAUCCUGCACGGACCACCGAUGGCGAAAGCACUUCGAGAAAACGGAUCCGACAGUGAGGGACGAAAGCCAGGGUCUCCAACCGGAUUAGAAACCCUAGUAGUCC